Long non-coding RNA from Tripterygium wilfordii, 438 nucleotides. RefSeq lists it as uncharacterized. The record is from RefSeq and is a predicted model, not a curated record. Lineage: Eukaryota; Viridiplantae; Streptophyta; Magnoliopsida; Celastrales; Celastraceae. The transcript has 2 exons.
AAGGAGAAGAAAAAAAGGGAGAUGGCGAACGAGGAGAAAGCAAGAGAGAAUAAGAAAAACUGAGAGAAAAGGGGGUGAUUCGCUGCACAUCAGGAGAAGAAAGGAGAGUAGAACUAGAAGACGAUUUUGUUCCUUUAAGCUCUAUUUCUCUGCAAGGUUUGAAGGUGGAUCUGAUCAUCACCAACUACUGUAUGCCUGGAAUGACAAGAUAUGAGUUGUUGAAGAAAAUCAAGGGAUCGUUUGCCUUGAGAGAGAUUCCGAUGUUAAUCAUGUCAUUUGAGAGUAAUCAUGUCAUCUGAGACCGUAGUGGCUCGAAUUGACAGAUGCUUGGGAGGAGGAGCAGAGGAAUCUAUUGUAAAGCCAGUGAAGUUGGAUUAGGUCUUGACCGUCCGUUAUGUACCCUGUCUCAUUGUGCAAAUAUUCAUAAUUUCUCGGGGA